This is a long non-coding RNA of Eleginops maclovinus (Patagonian blennie), 761 nucleotides long. RefSeq lists it as uncharacterized. Lineage: Eukaryota; Metazoa; Chordata; Actinopteri; Perciformes; Eleginopidae. The record is from RefSeq and is a predicted model, not a curated record. The transcript has 3 exons.
CUUUUGGCCAAAAGAAGACCUACUCUGGAUCAAUGUCAAAGACCAGAGAAUCCUUCUGGUGAUAAAGUCACAAGCUGCAACAACAUGCAAUAAAUGAAGGCACAGAGAUCCCUUUGACUCGGAUAUGUAUAUUGAGGAUGCCACCAAAACUAAUCCUUAAAGUUGCCCUGAGAUGGAAACCAAGAGGAAGAAAAAGGGGCAGACUAAAACCAACAUGUGACCGGGCCCAAGCCAUGGCCCAAUACCACAGCCAGGGGCAGAAGAGGAUUGAUGCAGUCUUAUCUCCCACCUGUGACAAAAUGGAUUAGAUAUCAUCAGUGACACCUGUCUGUGUGCGUGUGGUAAGAGCUCCCCACUGUGGUUUACUUCCGUAAAUGUCGUUUGUUAUUGCAGUUCAUGUUUAUUAAGGAUGCAUGUCAAUGUCUGCAACACCGAUCUUCUUCAAUGAAACUGCAGGCGAGUACCCUCAAUAUCCGACACUGUAAUCACAAGCAGUCUAAUGCAUAUUUUAUUUAUUUUAAGAGUCGGGUCUCUUGUAUGGCAUAUUGUAGCAGUGCCCUCAUUUUAACCUUCAUUAUCUGUUAACCACCAGGUAGGUUCAACACUAAGAUCUUAACCAUUUCUUAAGGAUUUAUAUUAUAGGAUUCAUAUAUGAUGAUGUCAAACUUUGGUGUAUGUAUACCUCUUGUGUUAUUGACCUUCAGCUGUAGUAUCAGCUCCUCCAUCACUGGAAAUAUCAACCCAGCAGUUGAACAAUGCAG